Molecule: unclassified non-coding RNA, 2171 nt
Filed under: Drosophila erecta
Lineage: Eukaryota; Metazoa; Arthropoda; Insecta; Diptera; Drosophilidae
Description: GG16228
Source: RNAcentral
ACACCUUCGAUUGGAUCAGUCGAAAUGCCUAGCGCUUCAGUUCCAAAAUCGUUAGUACUAAAAUGUUUUUAAAUUCACGUGGAGCAGAAAAUUUGUUGGAGUUCUAAAUACGUUCGGUUUGGUUUGGUUGAUGUUUAAACGUGUCGUUGUGGCGCCAAUACCCAUGCAUGUUUACUAUCGCUUAUCGAUACACCGCGUACACGGCAACCGUGUGUGACCAAAUCAAGCACACAAUCGUUGACCAACACUGACUGCACAGCAGCAACAACAAAAACACAAGCAACAACACCGACGUGCGUGUUCCUGUGUGUGUGUGCGUGUGAGAUUGGAAGACAAUGGCUGCAGCUGCGGAUCUGGUUGUUCCUACCCUUGCCAUUCGUUCUAGCGUGGCCGUGGAAGUGUGGUCCUCGGCGGGCUCCAAGCAGCCCUUCGAGCACAAGCCCCACCUGCCACGCGAGGAGACGAAGAGCUCACGCUCGAUCUGCUUCAGCCCCGACGGCCGGUACUUCGCCUACUCCAACGGUCAGGAAGUCAAGGUGCUCCAGGCCAGCCGGGACAGCGCAGCCAGCUGGCCGGCCAAGUGCGUCCUGCCCAGGCCGAAGGCCUUCUACCUCCAAUUCUCGCCACGUGGCAGCUACCUGUGCACCUGGGAGCACUAUGCCAUCACUAAGGACCGGCCGGAAGGGUCGCCCAAUCUGCUCGUCUACGAUGUGGCCACCGGCGUCGAAGUGUUCGCCAUCGUCCAGAAGAACCAAACAGACUGGCAGCCCUCCUGGUCGGCGGAUGAGUCCAUAUUCGCUCUGGUAGUCGGCGGCGAGGCACUCUUUUAUGACCUCGGCGAGGGUGCCGAUAAGGGAUUCGCCUCCACAUCGCGCAAGAUAGGAGGCAGUCGGGGCGGUAUGCUGUCGCUGGGCCCCGGUAACUGUCCCCCGUUCCUUGCCUUUUACACGCCGGGUGCCAAGGGCGCUCCGUCCAUGUGCAAGCUCUACAAGUACCCGGCGCUUGGCCAAAACCAGACCGUAGCCUGCAAGAGCUUCUUCCAGGCGGAUCGCGUCGAAAUGUUGUGGAACAAGCGGGGCAGCGGACUGCUCCUCCUAACCAGCACGGAAGUGGAUAAGAGCGGUGCCUCUUACUACGGCAACCAGGCGGUGCACUUCAUGGCCACCAAGGGCGACACCUGCUCAGUGCCCCUCUCUAAGGAGGGACCGGUGCACUGUGUCAAGUGGAGUCCCAAGGCAACCGAGUUUGUAGUCGUAUAUGGCUACAUGCCCUCCAAGGCGGCUCUCUACAACCUUAAGUGCGAUGUGGUCUUUGACUUUGGUGAGGGACCACGGAACUGUGCCUACUUCAAUCCGUUUGGCAACCUCAUAGUUCUCGCCGGCUUCGGCAAUCUGCCUGGAGCCGUCGAGGUGUGGGAUGUGACCAAACGCGAGAAGCUGGCUAACCUCAAGUGUGCCGACACCACGGUCUUUGAGUGGCAUCCCAAUGGCGAGUGGUUCGUCACGGCCACCACCGCACCUAGACUCCGCAUUAGCAAUGGGUUCAAGGUGUACCACUACUCCGGGGCUCUGCUCCACGAGACUAUGUGGCCCAACGGUCAGGAAUUGCUGGGAAUUGAGUGGCAGCAGUUUGCGGAUAAGACGUUCAGCGAGCCCAAGAUUACCAAGGCCAAGCACGAGGGCAUCAAGUCCAGCCAGCCAGAGGCCAGCAAGAAGGCUUACACACCGCCCCAUCUGCGCUUGUUGAAGGAGGGCAAGAAUCCGGAAAAGUAUCUGCCCCAGCCGAGUAUUCCCGGACUGGCCCCGGCGGCAGCAGCAGGUAAUGCGACGCGGAAGUUUUGGCACAGGCAGUACGACCUGGAUAAUCCCAUUAUGCGGCGAGGCGAGCAGGUCCAGUGCCAGCUGGUGGCGGCGAACGGCGCGGAAAGACCACCGUCUACCGGGUCCUCGACCAGCCGCCACAAUCGGCGCUAUCGACCCUACCAGCACAAACGCUACUAGGCUCAAAACUCACGCAGCUUGUCAGCUCCUCUCACCCCUUCCACACACAUUUUGUAUUAGCAUGCCAUUAGGAUUAGGGAUUGCGCGGCCGUGGUGCCAAUGGUAACAAGAGGAACAACAAGAACAAGCAGCGAAGCGCUAAGAAGGAUGUUAACGUUGUAAAUGGCGGCG